CCCUUAGAUGUUCUGGGCUGCACGCGCGCUACACUGACGCACGCAACAGGUGCCUGCUCCGAGAGGACUGGGUAAUCAUUUGAGUGUGCGUCGUGAUGGGGAUAGAAUAUUGUAAUUAUUACUCUUCAACGAGGAAUUCCUAGUAAGCGCAAGUCAGCAGCUUGCGCUGAUUACGUCCCUGCCCUUUGUACACACCGCCCGUCGCUCCUACCGAUGGGUGAUCCGGUGAGCUCUUCGGACUGCGCGGUCUGCAGUUUCUGCGUUCCGUGCGGAAAGUUGCGCAAACCUUAACAUUUAGAGGAAGGAGAAGUCGUAACA
This 318-nucleotide ribosomal RNA is filed under the name uncultured eukaryote. RNAcentral describes it as "partial 18S ribosomal RNA". It matches the Rfam family "Eukaryotic small subunit ribosomal RNA", at positions 1470 to 1796 of the family's 1831-position model. The record is from RNAcentral.